CAUCCUCCAAGGCUAAAUACUCCUGACUGACCGAUAGUGAACCAGUACCGUGAGGGAAAGGCGAAAAGAACCCCGGCGAGGGGAGUGAAAAAGAACCUGAAACCGUGUACGUACAAGCAGUGGGAGCACAGGUUUACCUGUGUGACUGCGUACCUUUUGUAUAAUGGGUCAGCGACUUAUAUUCUGUAGCAAGGUUAACCGAAUAGGGGAGCCGGAGGGAAACCGAGUCUUAACCGGGCGUUAAGUUGCAGGGUAUAGACCCGAAACCCGGUGAUCUAGCCAUGGGCAGGUUGAAGGUUGGGUAACACUAACUGGAGGACCGAACCGACUAAUGUUGAAAAAUUAGCGGAUGACCUGUGGCUGGGGGUGAAAGGCCAAUCAAACCGGGAGAUAGCUGGUUCUCCCCGAAAGCUAUUUAGGUAGCGCCUCGUGAAUUCAUCUCCGGGGGUAGAGCACUGUUUCGGCUAGGGGGCCAUCCCGGCUUACCAACCCGAUGCAAACUGCGAAUACCGGAGAAUGUUAUCACGGGAGACACACGGCGGGUGCUAACGUCCGUCGUGAAGAGGGAAACAACCCAGACCGCCAGCUAAGGUCCCAAAGUCAUGGUUAAGUGGGAAACGAUGUGGGAAGGCCCAGACAGCCAGGAUGUUGGCUUAGAAGCAGCCAUCAUUUAAAGAAAGCGUAAUAGCUCACUGGUCGAGUCGGCCUGCGCGGAAGAUGUAACGGGGCUAAACCAUGCACCGAAGCUGCGGCAGCGACGCUGAUGCGUUGUUGGGUAGGGGAGCGUUCUGUAAGCCUGCGAAGGUGGCCUGUGAGGGUUGCUGGAGGUAUCAGAAGUGCGAAUGCUGACAUAAGUAACGAUAAAGCGGGUGAAAAGCCCGCUCGCCGGAAGACCAAGGGUUCCUGUCCAACGUUAAUCGGGGCAGG
Molecule: ribosomal RNA, 927 nt
Filed under: Salmonella enterica subsp. enterica serovar Lubbock
Lineage: Bacteria; Pseudomonadati; Pseudomonadota; Gammaproteobacteria; Enterobacterales; Enterobacteriaceae
Description: partial 23S ribosomal RNA
Rfam family: Bacterial large subunit ribosomal RNA
Source: RNAcentral